RNAcentral lists this ribosomal RNA (582 nucleotides) under Triticum aestivum (bread wheat). Its description in RNAcentral is "partial small subunit ribosomal RNA". Lineage: Eukaryota; Viridiplantae; Streptophyta; Magnoliopsida; Poales; Poaceae. The record is from RNAcentral.
AUGAAUGCCAGCAAUAAUUUUUUGAAAGAUGUGUUCAUGGGUGAUGCCCAGCUCCGCACAAGACUAUGUGCCAUGUGGCACUAUCCAUUCAUUGUUCAGUCUCGCUCUCUGAUAGCCACGCAACCUCCUGAAGCAAUCAUAGCCAAUCAUCCAUACAAAAAAAGUGUUCUAUGUUUUCCUGAUCAUUGGGAAGCCGUACAAGCAUUCAAAUAUGCAGGAAAAGGAGACUCUCCCUAUGUGAAUGGUGUUGCAUAUCACUUCACAAUUAAUCUUCUACAGUCAAAUCUAAUAGAGAUAUGCAAUGAUCAAAGGGUUACAGUCUUUAUGAAAGGUCUUUCUCUGUAUAAAGCAUUGCAACGAGCUCGAUGUAAAACCCAUUGUCAUUUCUUCUCUCAUCUUAAAAUAAAAAACAACAUAUAUGCACGCACAUGCUUCAGCAUGGGCACGGCGUGCAAGUCUGAAUCAUUUCAGCUAGGCUACAACUUAGACGACAGUCAACUUACCCUGUCGUGGCAUGGAGUUGCCCCGCUCCCCCAAGACCAAGACAUUUUUGCUUCUGUGACCAAGAUCGACAAUGGAUGA